AGAACAAAGAAAAAAAAAAGACAAUUAUGAACCAAUAGUUAAAAGAAAAACACAAAAGAACCCUCAACCAUGGGAUUCCAAUCGGUAGUUGCUCAACAAAAUCAUUAACAAUAUUGAAUAGAGAGCAACCAAAACAAGAAAUGGAGUCUUCAAAAAUCAAAUCCUCACAACCCUUCAAAGAGAACCAACAGCUCUAUGGAGGUUCAUGAAGACGGCAAUCUUCUGCAGCUGCUGCUUCUACCAAUGCUGGAGCUUUUUUGACCCAAUAACUAUACUCACCUCGACUUAAUCCCUCUUACGCCAUUGCAUGCUGUUUUAUUACCAGAUCGGCCAAUGAAGUGGAAGGCGCAGGCAUAGAACUCCUUCGCUAUCUAAUUUGCGGAACAGAAAACCCAACUCUUUAGCAAUCGGAGCUCGUGUAUCACCGCAAUUGCAUAGGGUGGCAGAGACCACCGAACUUGAAUGUUGGAGACUACACCAUUAUUCGUAUGGAUCACAGAGACCAACUUCACACAAUAGCUGCGAAUGAAGCCAACAAUCUCACCCACACUCUGGUUUGUUCCCUCAUGCACCAUACGAUUUCGGGCAAACCAUAUAGCCCACAUUGUAACACAAAUUUCAUUAUGUUUUGUUAUAUGAUGCAUUUUCAGUAUCCAUGAAAGCUACUAAUGGAAAUCCAUUUGAGUACUAA
This is a long non-coding RNA of Gossypium arboreum, 691 nucleotides long. RefSeq lists it as uncharacterized. Lineage: Eukaryota; Viridiplantae; Streptophyta; Magnoliopsida; Malvales; Malvaceae. The transcript has 3 exons. The record is from RefSeq and is a predicted model, not a curated record.